RNAcentral lists this unclassified non-coding RNA (244 nucleotides) under uncultured fungus. Its description in RNAcentral is "partial contains 5.8S ribosomal RNA, internal transcribed spacer 2, and large subunit ribosomal RNA". The stretch from base 1 to 52 matches the Rfam family "5.8S ribosomal RNA", at positions 103 to 154 of the family's 154-position model. Lineage: Eukaryota; Fungi. The record is from RNAcentral.
AACGCACAUUGCGCCCCUCGGUAUUCCGGGGGGCAUGCCUGUUCGAGCGUCAUUACACCCCUCAAGCGUAGCUUGGUAUUGGGUCCUCGCCCCCCGGGGCGGGCCCGAAAAACAGUGGCGGCCCGUCGCGACUUCGAGCGUAGUAAAUUAUCUCCCGCUUUGGAAGUUCGCCCCGUGGCUCGCCAUCAACCCCAAUUUUUCAAUGAUUGACCUCGGAUCAGGUAGGGAUACCCGCUGAACUUAA